UGGGGGAAUAUUGGACAAUGGGCGCAAGCCUGAUCCAGCCAUGCCGCGUGAGUGAUGAAGGCCUUAGGGUUGUAAAGCUCUUUCGCCGGUGAAGAUAAUGACGGUAACCGGAGAAGAAGCCCCGGCUAACUUCGUGCCAGCAGCCGCGGUAAUACGAAGGGGGCUAGCGUUGCUCGGAAUCACUGGGCGUAAAGCGCACGUAGGCGGAUCGUUAAGUCAGGGGUGAAAUCCUGGAGCUCAACUCCAGAACUGCCCUUGAUACUGGCGAUCUCGAGUUCGAGAGAGGUUGGUGGAACUCCGAGUGUAGAGGUGAAAUUCGUAGAUAUUCGGAAGAACACCAGUGGCGAAGGCGGCCAACUGGCUCGAUACUGACGCUGAGGUGCGAAAGCGUGGGGAGCAAACAGGAUUAGAUACCCCUGGUAGUCCACGCCGUAAACGAUGGAUGCUAGCCGUUGGGGGGUUUACCUCUCAGUGGCGCAGCUAACGCCUUAAGCAUCCCGCCUGGGGAGUACGGUCGCAAGAUUAAAACUUAAAUGAAUUG
Molecule: ribosomal RNA, 541 nt
Filed under: uncultured bacterium
Lineage: Bacteria
Description: partial 16S ribosomal RNA
Rfam family: Bacterial small subunit ribosomal RNA
Source: RNAcentral